CAACGCCGCGUGAGCGAAGAAGGCCUUCGGGUCGUAAAGCUCUGUUGUUAGGGAAGAACAAGUAUCGGAGUAACUGCCGGUACCUUGACGGUACCUAACCAGAAAGCCACGGCUAACUACGUGCCAGCAGCCGCGGUAAUACGUAGGUGGCAAGCGUUGUCCGGAAUUAUUGGGCGUAAAGCGCGCGCAGGCGGUCCUUUAAGUCUGAUGUGAAAGCCCACGGCUCAACCGUGGAGGGUCAUUGGAAACUGGGGGACUUGAGUGCAGAAGAGGAGAGUGGAAUUCCACGUGUAGCGGUGAAAUGCGUAGAGAUGUGGAGGAACACCAGUGGCGAAGGCGACUCUCUGGUCUGUAACUGACGCUGAGGCGCGAAAGCGUGGGGAGCAAACAGGAUUAGAUACCCUGGUAGUCCACGCCGUAAACGAUGAGUGCUAAGUGUUAGAGGGUUUCCGCCCUUUAGUGCUGCAACUAACGCAUUAAGCACUCCGCCUGGGGAGUACGGCCGCAAGGCUG
RNAcentral lists this ribosomal RNA (513 nucleotides) under uncultured Bacillota bacterium. RNAcentral describes it as "bacterial SSU rRNA". It matches the Rfam family "Bacterial small subunit ribosomal RNA", at positions 392 to 896 of the family's 1533-position model. The record is from RNAcentral. Lineage: Bacteria; Bacillati; Bacillota.